RNAcentral lists this ribosomal RNA (420 nucleotides) under uncultured bacterium. RNAcentral's name for it is "bacterial SSU rRNA". It matches the Rfam family "Bacterial small subunit ribosomal RNA", at positions 359 to 776 of the family's 1533-position model. The record is from RNAcentral.
GAAUAUUGGACAAUGGGCGGGAGCCUGAUCCAGCCAUGCCGCGUGCAGGAAGACUGCCCUAUGGGUUGUAAACUGCUUUUAUACGGGAAGAAACACCCCCACGGGUGGGGGUUUGACGGUGCCGUAAGAAUAAGGACCGGCUAACUCCGUGCCAGCAGCCGCGGUAAUACGGAGGGUCCGAGCGUUAUCCGGAAUCAUUGGGUUUAAAGGGUCCGUAGGCGGGCAGCUAAGUCAGUGGUGAAAGUCUGUGGCUCAACCAUAGAAUUGCCAUUGAUACUGGUUGUCUUGAAUCAAUGUGAAGUGGUUAGAAUGAGUAGUGUAGCGGUGAAAUGCAUAGAUAUUACUCAGAAUACCGAUUGCGAAGGCAGAUCACUAACAUUGUAUUGACGCUGAGGGACGAAAGCGUGGGGAGCGAACAGG